This 314-nucleotide ribosomal RNA is filed under the name uncultured bacterium. RNAcentral's name for it is "partial 16S ribosomal RNA". It matches the Rfam family "Bacterial small subunit ribosomal RNA", at positions 499 to 807 of the family's 1533-position model. The record is from RNAcentral.
UUAUAAGAGACAGCAGUCGCCACGGGAAUACAGAGGGUGCGAGCGUUAAUCGGAUUUACUGGGCGUAAAGCGUGCGUAGGCGGCUUUUUAAGUCGGAUGUGAAAUCCCUGAGCUUAACUUAGGAAUUGCAUUCGAUACUGGGAAGCUAGAGUAUGGGAGAGGAUGGUAGAAUUCCAGGUGUAGCGGUGAAAUGCGUAGAGAUCUGGAGGAAUACCGAUGGCGAAGGCAGCCAUCUGGCCUAAUACUGACGCUGAGGUACGAAAGCAUGGGGAGCAAACAGGAUUAGAUACCCCGGUAGUCCCUGUCUCUUAUAC